UGUGAACUUGGUUAAAAGUAUAGAAAUUUGACUUUUCAAAAUACUAAUAAUCCUUGUAUUUUGAAAUUGAUGGAGUAUCUAGUUUGGCCGGUAAGGGAGACGGUGAAGUUUUUUUAUGUUUAUUUUUAAUCUAGUUAUUUGGUGUGCCAUUCGUCGUAUGAUUAUGUAUUAUCUGUUAAUCAAUCCAUAUUUAUAUGGGGAUAAUUUUUUAUCGUUGGUUGCAUGUACUUUAUUUGGCUAUAAAAUCAUAUGGUGACUCUUUUUUUGUGGUGACACGAGGGGUUAGUAUACUUUUAUAGUUCGGUUGCUGUCGAUUGAUUUGAAAAAUCGUUGGCUCCAUCAAAAUUGUGAUUCAAAUCUAAAAUUGAAUACCUCAAUCGAAUGAAAGAGUUUAAAAUUAGAAAACAUGAAGACUUAAAAUAAAUUAAUAAGAAAGCUCUUUGAGAAAUUGUUAAUCCGCUCAAAAUUGGGUGAUCAAGUUCUAAAUUAAAGCCUCAGUUAAUUAUGAAGAUUAAAUUUUUUAGGAAGCAUGAUGUAUUGUAUAAAAAAAGAAAUGAAAAAGAUUGUUGAUCCGGUCAAAAUUG
This 584-nucleotide long non-coding RNA is filed under the name Hordeum vulgare. Its description in RNAcentral is "long non-coding RNA (HVUL_LNC003841)". The record is from RNAcentral. Lineage: Eukaryota; Viridiplantae; Streptophyta; Magnoliopsida; Poales; Poaceae.